UACGGAGGGGGCGAGCGUUAUUCGGAAUUAUUGGGCGUAAAGGGCGCGUAGGCGGCCCGGUAAGUCAAAGGUGAAAUCCCUCGGCUCAACUGAGGAACUGCCUUUGAAACUGUCGGGCUUGAGGCCGGGAGGGGGUAGCGGAAUUCCCAGUGUAGCGGUGAAAUGCGUAGAUAUUGGGAGGAACACCAGUGGCGAAGGCGGCUACCUGGACAGAGUCUGACGCUGAGGCACGAAAGCUAGGGGAGCAAACAGG
Molecule: ribosomal RNA, 253 nt
Filed under: uncultured bacterium
Lineage: Bacteria
Description: partial 16S ribosomal RNA
Rfam family: Bacterial small subunit ribosomal RNA
Source: RNAcentral